UAGGUUUCUCUCUCAUCUUGGCAUUUCACUU
This 31-nucleotide non-coding RNA is filed under the name Mus musculus (house mouse). Lineage: Eukaryota; Metazoa; Chordata; Mammalia; Rodentia; Muridae. The record is from RNAcentral.